Schistocerca cancellata (South American locust) is the source of this 434-nucleotide long non-coding RNA. RefSeq lists it as uncharacterized. The record is from RefSeq and is a predicted model, not a curated record. The transcript has 3 exons. NCBI's taxonomy places the organism in Eukaryota, Metazoa, Arthropoda, Insecta, Orthoptera, Acrididae.
AUUUCUUCUGCUAUAGUGUAUCUUUUUGAAAACAUUCUAUAAAAUGAAUACUAUUUGUUUAGGGGUAUGUAAUGAAGUUGCCAGGCAUUCAACUUGAAGCGAAGCAGUCUCGUACAGGGUCUCAUCCAACUCAGUCAGUGUAAAUGGUGAAGAAAAACUGGAUUCAUUUGGGCAGUGAGCUUUUAGAGAGGAAGCUGAAGAACUACAACUUGGACACAACGAGAGCUGGCUGCCGUGGAAAUCUUUAAACAUAUUACGAUCAGGAGUUGGAUGAUCCAGAGACCACCUGAAGAGGUGGGGCUUCAGAACAGAAGAUACGUCUUGUGAUUGUGGACAAGAACAAACCACAAGCCACAUGCUCCACUGCCUUUUGUGCCCUACAUCCUGCACGAAGAUUGAUCUCCUGCAAGCCACUCCAAGCGCCUUGGAGGUUG